CUGGGCUUGACAUGUUCCCGACGACGGCGGAGACGUCGUUUCCCUUCGGGGCGGGUUCACAGGUGGUGCAUGGUCGUCGUCAGCUCGUGUCGUGAGAUGUUGGGUCAAGUCCCGCAACGAGCGCAACCCUCGCCCCGUGUUGCCAGCGCGUCAUGGCGGGAACUCACGGGGGACCGCCGGGGUUAACCCGGAGGAAGGUGGGGAUGACGUCAGAUCAUCAUGCCCCUUACGUCCAGGGCUUCACGCAUGCUACAAUGGCCGGUACAGCGGGAUGCGACAUGGUGACAUGGAGCGGAUCCCUGAAAACCGGUCUCAGUUCGGAUCGGAGCCUGCAACCCGGCUCCGUGAAGGCGGAGUCGCUAGUAAUCGCGGAUCAGCAACGCCGCGGCGAAUGCGUUCCC
Molecule: ribosomal RNA, 401 nt
Filed under: uncultured bacterium
Lineage: Bacteria
Description: bacterial SSU rRNA
Rfam family: Bacterial small subunit ribosomal RNA
Source: RNAcentral